GAAAUGUAUUUCACAGAUGAGAGGAA
This 26-nucleotide non-coding RNA is filed under the name Mus musculus (house mouse). The record is from RNAcentral. Lineage: Eukaryota; Metazoa; Chordata; Mammalia; Rodentia; Muridae.